GAUUAACAACAUCGAAUGAAGUGAAACGGAAAGAGAUGUUGGUCAAGCAACCCGAACGUUGAGUCGGAAAGUAAUCGAAGAGAGGAUUAUUAGUGAUACGUCUGUUGGGUAGGGGAGCGUUGUGUAAGCGGAUGAAGGUGAAUCGAGAGGUUUGCUGGACGUAUCACAAGUGCGAAUGCUGACAUAAGUAACGAUAAAACGAGUGAAAAACUCGUUCGCCGGAAGACCAAGGGUUCCUGUCCAACGUUAAUCGGGGCAGGGUGAGUCGGCCCCUAAGGCGAGGCUGAAAAGCGUAGUCGAUGGGAAACGGGUUAAUAUUCCCGUACUUGGUAAAGCUGCGAUGUGGGGACGGAGAAGGUUAGGUUAGCAGACUGUUGGAUGUCUGUUUAAGUUGGUAGGUGGGGAGUUUAGGCAAAUCCGGACUUCCAUAACACUGAGAGAUGAUGACGAGUUUCUACGGAAAUGAAGUAACUGAUACCACGCUUCCAGGAAAAGCCACUAAGCGAAAGGCUUUACUAAACCGUACUGAAAACCGACACAGGUGGUCAGGUAGAGAAUACUCAGGCGCUUGAGAGAACUCGGGUGAAGGAACUAGGCAAAAUAGCACCGUAACUUCGGGAGAAGGUGCGCUGGCGUAGGUUGUAGGAGUAUACCUCCGAAGGCUGAACCAGUCGAAGAUACCAGCUGGCUGCAACUGUUUAUUAAAAACACAGCACUCUGCAAACACGAAAGUGGACGUAUAGGGUGUGAUGCCUGCCCGGUGCUGGAAGGUUAAUUGAUGGUGU
Molecule: ribosomal RNA, 785 nt
Filed under: Glaesserella parasuis
Lineage: Bacteria; Pseudomonadati; Pseudomonadota; Gammaproteobacteria; Pasteurellales; Pasteurellaceae
Description: partial 23S ribosomal RNA
Rfam family: Bacterial large subunit ribosomal RNA
Source: RNAcentral